Molecule: ribosomal RNA, 460 nt
Filed under: uncultured bacterium
Lineage: Bacteria
Description: partial 16S ribosomal RNA
Rfam family: Bacterial small subunit ribosomal RNA
Source: RNAcentral
CCUACGGGAGGCAGCAGUGAGGAAUCUUCGUCAAUGGACGAGAGUCUGAACCAGCCAAGUAGCGUGAAGGAUGACUGCCCUAUGGGUUGUAAACUUCUUUUAUAUGGGAAUAAAAUGUUCCACGUGUGGGAUUUUGUAUGUACCAUAUGAAUAAGGAUCGGCUAACUCCGUGCCAGCAGCCGCGGUAAUGGGGAGGGUCCGAGCGUUAUCCGGAUUUAUUGGGUUUAAAGGGAGCGUAGGUGGAGUGUUAAGUCAGUUGUGAAAGUUUGCGGCUCAACCGUAAAAUUGCAGUUGAAACUGGCAGUCUUGAGUACAGUAGAGGUGGGCGGAAUUCGUGGUGUAGCGGUGAAAUGCUUAGAUAUCACGAAGAACUCCGAUUGCGAAGGCAGUUCACUGGACUGCAACUGACACUGAGGCUCGAAAGUGUGGGUAUCAAACAGGAUUAGAUACCCCUGUAGUC